Molecule: ribosomal RNA, 253 nt
Filed under: uncultured bacterium
Lineage: Bacteria
Description: partial 16S ribosomal RNA
Rfam family: Bacterial small subunit ribosomal RNA
Source: RNAcentral
AACGUAGGACGCGAGCGUUAUCCGGAGUUACUGGGCGUAAAGGGUGGGCAGGCGGCCGUGUCAGAUGGGUGUGAAAUCUCCCGGCUCAACCGGGAGGGGCCACCCGUGACUGCACGGCUGGAGGGCAGCAGAGGCGCGUGGAAUUCCGGGUGGAGUGGUGAAAUGCGUAGAGAUCCGGAGGAACACCAGAGGCGAAGGCGGCGCGCUGGGCUGCACCUGACGCUGAACCACGAAAGCCAGGGUAGCGAACGGG